Tigriopus californicus is the source of this 143-nucleotide small nucleolar RNA. RefSeq annotates it as small nucleolar RNA SNORA57. The transcript has a single exon. The record is from RefSeq and is a predicted model, not a curated record. NCBI's taxonomy places the organism in Eukaryota, Metazoa, Arthropoda, Copepoda, Harpacticoida, Harpacticidae.
CCUCUUAUCUUGGCAUGGCAAAAACGGAUCGUGUCUUGCUGUGAAUUGCAAUAGAGGCAGAUUAUUCCUUAAAAGACGAACCUAUGCCUUCGGUGUCCAAGCCAACUCUUGCCUGGAUCCCAUCCUCAAUGGUUCAAACAAUC